AGCAGUGAGGAAUAUUGGUCAAUAGUCUAUGAUGACUGAACCAGCAACUUGGAAGAAUGAUAAACUGGACAACCUUAUAAAGUUCAGGGUAGAAUAUGAUAAACGACAAUUUAUACCUUUGAGUCUUGACCAAAUCUUGUGCCAGCAGUCGCGGUAAUACAAGGGAGACUAGUGUUAUUCAUCUUUAUUAGGUUUAAAGGGUACCUAGACAGUAUAUCCAGCUUAAUUUUUAUAGUACGGAUAAGACUAGAGUUUGAUACAAGAGGUAAAUAUUAGUACUACUAGUGUAGAGAUAAAAUUCUUUGAUACUUUUAGGACGGGUAAUGGUGAAAACGAUCCUUUAUGUAAAAACUGACGUUGAGGGACGAAGGCUUGGGUAACGAAUAGGAUUAGAUACCCUAGUAGUCCUUGCAGUAAAUUAUGAAUGCUAUGAAUUAGAGUUCUCUAUUUGAUUUAUAAAUGAAAGUGUAAGCAUUCCACCUCAAGAGUAAUGUGGCAACACUGAAACUGAAAUCAUUAGACCGUAUCUGAAAUCAGUAGUGAAGUAUGUUAUUUAAUUCGAUAACCCUCGAAAAACCUUACCACAAUUUGAAUAUUAAUUAAAUUUAAUUAAUACAAGCGUUGCACGGCUGUCUUCAGUUAAUGUCGUGAGAUAAGGUUAGAUCCGUAAAAUUAACGUAAGCCCUUUCUUUAUUUUUUUUUAUAAAGAAGUUCGUCAAGAUAUUGAUAAAUGAUAACAGGGAUUAAGACAAGUCAUCAUGACCUAAACUCAAUUGUGGGCUAUAGACGUGC
RNAcentral lists this ribosomal RNA (792 nucleotides) under Trichodelitschia munkii. RNAcentral describes it as "SSU rRNA". It matches the Rfam family "Bacterial small subunit ribosomal RNA", at positions 350 to 1225 of the family's 1533-position model. Lineage: Eukaryota; Fungi; Ascomycota; Dothideomycetes; Phaeotrichales; Phaeotrichaceae. The record is from RNAcentral.